AAUUCCCCGGGCCCACCCCUUCCUUAAUGAUCUAUGGGUGUGGAGCAGGGAGCUGCCAGAAUGCAUUUGCCACAUGAAAGUAAGUCACCCUGCACUGUGACACAGAGUGAUUUCUUCUAAAGAGUCUUCCCCUGUGAAGUGCUCCUCAGAUCUGCCUCCUCCCUGCUCCCUUUUGAUGAGCAACCCCAUGCACAGCACAGGAGGAAUAGCAGGGGUGGAGGCUGGCAAGAAGAAUGCCAACAGAACACCUUCUGGGGCCAGAGAGGAAGAUGCCCCGCCUGACAGCCCAGACUCCCUGCUGCUGGCAGAAGAGGACUCAGCCACCAACAAACACCAGCACCUGUGCUGUCAGGGGACAGGGGAGUCAAGUGGCUGUCCCUCGGCUUCCCCAGAGAGCAAAGCAGAUGAGAGGACUGGGGACAGUCCCAGCUGCUCCCCCCCCCCGCGACCCAGCCAUUCUGGAGCUCUUUAAAAAGCUUUGUUUCCCACUCUGGGGGCAGGACCAAGAUGCAGCAAGCAGGUUGGACUCCCAAAAAUGUAACCAGAAAGCCUUUCAUGCUGCCUUGCCAGACUGACAUUUUGACAAGUUGCCACGAGUGACAUCUGAUUUGUACAAAUUUCAAGACUAAUAAAUCUACCUGUCAAAGCGGAAACUUUAAAAGG
Molecule: long non-coding RNA, 663 nt
Organism: Ursus maritimus (polar bear)
Lineage: Eukaryota; Metazoa; Chordata; Mammalia; Carnivora; Ursidae
Source: Ensembl